CCUGGCUGCCCACCGGCUCUCUGACCUGGACCUCGCCGUCGCUGGCCCCUGAAAUCCAUCACUUUAGUCAGCUGUUCUGUGACGCCACAACGAGGAGCCACCUGGGCUCUGCUGACCCUUCGGGAUUCGCGGCUAGCAGAGAUGUGUCCACCAAGAUCUCUUCUCUUGUCUGUAAACAACUUCACUCUCAAGGAGGCAGCUCUGGCCUCUCAGCAGGUGCGGCCUACACUGAUGUCCGUCCGGGUUUUACAUCCUUCCCCGACCUCGACAUGAGUCCCAGCCCCCUCGGGCCUCUGACUCUCAGGUGUCCUGUACGAUCUCCUGUCCUCUCCUCUCGCUCCUGGCUCCCCUCCACUGUCACACACCCACACAAUCACAGACGCACACACAUGUACACGGGCAGGCUUGGAAAUCUGCUUCACCCGACUCACCCCGCCUGCCCAAGGCCCCUCACGAUCUCCCAUUUCCUCUGCCAUCAUCCCAGACUGCAAAGCUGUGUUGUUUGUUAUUGCUGCAGGAGCUGGGGAUGAGUGACUGAAUAACCAUAGGAUUUGGUCUUGAUGGGAGAAUCCCAGAAGCCAAAUCCACGCGGUGAAUAAGCUGCUGAUCUUUCAGAGCACACAUCCGCUAGAGAUUCUUCCCAACGCUAAUAUGAAAGGUUACAACCAUAACCCAUCAUCAGGCCCAAAUAUAUUACUUACUGAAUAAAUACACAAGUUACAAGCAACA
Molecule: long non-coding RNA, 729 nt
Organism: Symphalangus syndactylus (siamang)
Lineage: Eukaryota; Metazoa; Chordata; Mammalia; Primates; Hylobatidae
Source: RefSeq, a predicted model, not a curated record